Molecule: unclassified non-coding RNA, 499 nt
Filed under: uncultured fungus
Lineage: Eukaryota; Fungi
Description: partial contains small subunit ribosomal RNA, internal transcribed spacer 1, and 5.8S ribosomal RNA
Rfam family: Eukaryotic small subunit ribosomal RNA (bases 1-73)
Source: RNAcentral
ACAAACUUGGUCAUUUAGAGGAAGUAAAAGUCGUAACAAGGUAACCGUAGGUGAACCUGCGGUUGGAUCAUUAUUGAAGAUCUAUUUUGAUACGGAGGAGGGGAGCGUCCCCGGGGGGUGGAUGAUUAUAUCUAUCUAUAUAUCCUCUGGGGGCGGCUUUCCCUUGAGAUGUGUCUGCGGCAGAUGCGACAUUGUCGGCACUGAAAAUCGUCCUCGAGAGGGUUUUGUUUGUGUCGGGCAUUUGCGUCCAUGCGGCCCGAAAGGGGGCUUGCAAGCAAACGUGCCUCGGUUCGCCCGUUGCCGCGGAAGACUGCGUGUCCCUCUCUCCCUUUCUUUGGGGAAACGGGCAGCGGUCGUAUUUUUCUAUCCUUUCCAAGGAAAUACCACUUCUCCUUCCGUGUGGGAAGAGAAGAGAAAAACAAUUGUGAUUGCAAAGAAACCAAAAAAAACAACUUUUGACAACGGAUCUCUUGGCUCUCGCAUCGAUGAAGAACGCAGC